RNAcentral lists this ribosomal RNA (301 nucleotides) under uncultured bacterium. Its description in RNAcentral is "partial 16S ribosomal RNA". It matches the Rfam family "Bacterial small subunit ribosomal RNA", at positions 509 to 807 of the family's 1533-position model. The record is from RNAcentral.
CAGCAGCCGCGGUAAUACGUAGGGUGCGAGCGUUAAUCGGAAUUACUGGGCGUAAAGCGUGCGCAGGCGGUUGUGUAAGACAGGUGUGAAAUCCCCGGGCUUAACCUGGGAAUGGCGCUUGUGACUGCAAAGCUAGAGUGCGGCAGAGGGGGAUGGAAUUCCGCGUGUAGCAGUGAAAUGCGUAGAUAUGCGGAGGAACACCGAUGGCGAAGGCAAUCCCCUGGGCCUGCACUGACGCUCAUGCACGAAAGCGUGGGGAGCAAACAGGAUUAGAUACCCCCGUAGUCCCUGUCUCUUAUAC